This 1116-nucleotide long non-coding RNA is filed under the name Homo sapiens (human). RNAcentral describes it as "HSALNT0096155". Lineage: Eukaryota; Metazoa; Chordata; Mammalia; Primates; Hominidae. The record is from RNAcentral.
UCAAGAUUCUGGUUGUGCUAAGGCACGCCCAGCUCCUGAGACAUGUAGCCCAGCACGGAGAAGAUGGCAAAGCCAGCCAGGAUGCUGGUGAUGGCGUUGCCCAGAGUGACGAUGAAAGUGUCUCUACCAGAAGAAGUCCAGGAGGCAAAGGUGAGGAGCCCCCCGAAGCCCACACCCAGGGAAUAGAAGAUCUGAAGAGCAGCUUCAAUCCACACCUGUGCCGGGAAGGAUGGAAAGGGAGGGUGUGCGGAUGGUCAAGGACAGAGAAGGAAGGCAGUGAAUGAAGAUGGUGUGACAGCUCCAGGGAUGGCGUGGUCACGAGGGAUGGCGUGGUCAUGAGCCUGGCUCACAAGUGACGUGGACCAGGAGCAAAGCCUCCCCCAACAUUUACACGGUGGGACAUGGGCAAGUCCCUUCCCCUCUGCGGGCUUCAGUUUCCCACCCAGGAUCUAGAAGAUGGUCUCUAAGCUUGGUCCAGUUCUGAAGGACACAGAGCCUAAUGUAAAGUGUGCAGGAGAUUUGUAUUGGCAGUAAGCCUGCAUAACCCCUUUACUUCCUUUCUGGAAUCCUGGCACCUGGAUUUGGACCCCAGCUUCACCAUUUUCUAGCUGUGCAGCCUGAACAAGCCAGGUCACCCCUCUGGACCGCAGGAUCCCUAUCUGUAACGAGGGGAUAGGAAUAGUGCCUACUUCAUGGGAGGAGGGUGGGUUAAAUCACUACACACAUGCAUGUAAAACACUAGGGCAAGGUCAGGCACAGUCCCCAGUCAAUAAAUAUUAACAUUAGCUGUCAGUACCAUUGUUAUCACCAUUGUCACUAAUGCCCUCCUUGGGGUUUACAGUCACACAAAUCUGGGCUGGGAUCCCUGUUCUUCGAUCCCCUAGCUGUAUGACCGUAAGCUUGAUAAGAACCCUUUUGAGCCUCAGUUUAUUCCUCUGUAAAAUGAGGAUAGUGUUUCCAUGAUUGUUAAUAAUAAUAAAUGAAGUAUAAUAUGCAGUUAGUGACAAUAUAUCGUAUUCUUGGAGAAUGCUAAGAGAGUGGAUGUUAAGUGUUCUCACUACAAAAAUGAUAAUUAUGUGAGAUAAUACAUAUGCUAAUUAGCUAGAUUUAACAGUU